GCCCUGGUUCUUAUUAGUCCCAUUUUACAGAUGUGUAAACUGACACUCAGAGAGGCGAAGUGACUUUCCUAUAGUGAAGUAGUAAAUGAUAGAGCCAAGAUUCCAACUCACUCCUUCCAGUGGAUUUUUGCUUCUGAAUUCACAGCAGUGCUGGCUCUAGAAUGCCAGUGAAGGAGAGACUUCAGGGCACAAACAGUCUGGUUGGAAGGAGGAGGAGGAGCAGUCGGGAGACUAGCCUUGAAUUCCUGCCUUCCUUUGGAUUGCAUAUCUCUUUGGAGUGGUUGGAGGUGGGAGGGGGCAUGCUGAGGUCAUAGCACAGUUUACGAGGAGAGGGCAGAGUUGAGGUGGGGAUUCUGAAUUCUAAGCUGAUUCUUGACCUCCAUCAGUACUGUCAACAAGACCCACCUGGAGGAAGCUAUCCUAGGGCUGGCAGGAGAGGUUUCAACUCUCCCGUCCAAGAGUCCUGUGGGUACCAGAGGCUGGGAGCUGUUGUGUCUUUCACCAACGAGGAAGUCAAUUAUGCACUGAAGGAGGAGGUGGAGAUGAAAUCUCAGUUUCAAGGCGGAGGUGUGUGGAGAGGAGAAAAAAAGACUGUGAGCAGAGGGAGGGAGUUCCUGCAAAGCAGUGCUUUCCUCCACUCCCACCCCAACGGCAGAAGAGGAGGCCUGGUGGGAAACGGGUGGGGGUGCAAGUGCAGUAACCAGCAGGCUGGCUGAAAGAAGCCUCUCGUGGGUAUUUAUAGAGCUCGCAUCGCCAUGGUACCCAGGCGCUUAAAUUAAAUUCCAUCCCAACUGCUUAGAGACGGGUGGAAUGAAAUGUUCUUUACCUGUCCACUGCUCGCGGUGUGACACCUCAUUCUCAGAAUUUCAGAUGAGCAAUCUGAGUGAAUUUUACAAGCUACCAACGAGUAGGGUUGAGGCUUAAACCCAGAUCACUUGCCUCAACAGGGUGGCUGGGUGGAGUAGUGGCAAGUACAUGGACAGAAAAAAAUAAAUCCGAGUGUGAAACUUGGCUCUGCAUCUCCAUUGAUGUAUGACUUUGGGCAUGAGACUGCACCUCUCUGAGCCCAGUUACCUUGUCUCUAAAAUGAGAACAAUGAUACCCGCCUGUCAACUUGUGACACUAAAUGAAAUGAUGUAAAUAAAGUGCCAGCUAAGCCCCUGAAACACAGGAGAUCUUUUAAAGGUGGGUUCCUUACCUUCUUGGCUCUUAAUUCAUUUAUUCACCAAGACUCUUGGCUGUCAGCUGUGUACCAGACGAUGGGUCAAGGACAUGGCAG
This 1279-nucleotide long non-coding RNA is filed under the name Equus caballus (horse). Its description in RNAcentral is "lncRNA (ENSECAG00000028277.2)". Lineage: Eukaryota; Metazoa; Chordata; Mammalia; Perissodactyla; Equidae. The record is from RNAcentral.